UACGUAGGUGGCAAGCGUUGUCCGGAUUUACUGGGCGUAAAGAGCGCGCAGGCGGUCGUUUAAGUCGAAUGUGAAAGCCCCCGGCUCAACUGGGGAGGGUCAUUCGAUACUGAUCGACUUGAAGGCAGGAGAGGGAAGUGGAAUUCCGGGUGUAGUGGUGAAAUGCGUAGAUAUCCGGAGGAACACCAGUGGCGAAGGCGGUGUGCUGGGUUGCAACUGACGCUGAGAUGCGAAAGUGUGGGGAGCAAACGGG
Molecule: ribosomal RNA, 253 nt
Filed under: uncultured bacterium
Lineage: Bacteria
Description: partial 16S ribosomal RNA
Rfam family: Bacterial small subunit ribosomal RNA
Source: RNAcentral